This is an RNA transcript of Nelumbo nucifera (sacred lotus), 1743 nucleotides long. It is a transcript of the gene named E3 ubiquitin-protein ligase RZF1-like, with no coding region annotated. Lineage: Eukaryota; Viridiplantae; Streptophyta; Magnoliopsida; Proteales; Nelumbonaceae. The record is from RefSeq and is a predicted model, not a curated record.
CUUGCACCCUCUGACCCUCACAAGCCGCUUUGUAUCAUGUGAGUUGGAUUGGAAUGACUCGGUAACCCGGUUUUCUUUUAGAAAAGGUCUCAACUCUUAGUACAGCAGCGUUAUUUUGAUUUCUGCGAUCCGAUCCAUGACCUUAAAGAUACCAACCUUUCUUCGCGGGUAAGAUUUUCAAUUUCUGAAGAAAUCAAACCAGAAGCCAGAAGGACUUUCAGAAGGCUUUGCAUCGUUCUUCACUCAUCCUUUCCUUUGGGUUGGAGGAGACCGACGAUGGAGGGCCAGGCGGCAAGGCAGAUCAGUGAGGGAAAUAGAGAAUCGCUUUCUGCAACUCCAAAAGCCAUUCUUUUCUCUCUUCCCUUCCGAUCUUUAUACACAUAUCUCUUCUUUCUGUUAAUCUCUCUUCAUUGCGUUCUCUCCACAAACAAACACAAACCCAUAAACCCAGAAAAAAAAAUCAAAACCCCGUUUGAAUUUGUAAGCUAGCAAUUAUGUCUGUAAGCCCUCCUCGUGUAAGAGUCAAUGGCAUCAGGAGCUACCGUCUUUACUGGUGUUACCAGUGCCAACGAACAGUCAGGGUUGCCGCUUCCAUCACAUCUGAGAUUUUCUGUCCCCGUUGUUUCGGUCAAUUCCUCCAUGAGCUCGACGUGGCCAGGCCCCGGUUUGUUCUUAACCUCUCUGGUCUCGAUUCCUCUCCUGAGGCCCGGUUAUUGGAAGCCCUGUCUCUCAUGCUUGACCCCCCAAUGCGUCGGCCUGUUCAUGAUUUCGAUGGGAGAUUUCGCUUGGAACCGGAGGCUGAACUUCGGGAUCGGCCCAGACGUUGGAUUAUAGUCCGACCCACUAACCGUCCUCGUCCGACCGGAACGAUGUCCCCGCCGGAAAAUCUGUUGCCCCAGGCUGCUGGCCCCAGAGAUUACUUUGUCGGACCAGGGCUGAAUGAACUGAUUGAGGAAUUGACCCAGAAUGACCGACCAGGUCCGCCUCCAGCACCUGCUUCAGCCAUUGAUGCCAUGCCGAGAGUGAAAAUCACAGAGAUCCAUUUGAAGGGUGAUUCGCAUUGUCCAGUUUGUAUGGAGGAGUUUAAGAUUGGUGAGGAAGUUAGGGAGAUGACGUGUAAGCAUGUUUACCACUGCGACUGCAUUGUUCCCUGGUUGCAAAUUCACAAUUCUUGCCCAGUUUGCCGCCAUGAACUGCAGGCUUCCUUUGACAGUGAUCUUCGUAUUGACGAUGUUGCGGAUUCUCGAAGGGAGGAUGUCAGUAACCGCCGCCGGUGGAGGUGGAGUCAAUUGUUCUCUUUAUGGCCUUUUCGAUUGUCUGCUAACGGGAGGUACCGACACAUUCACUCUCAGGAUGACAGCAUCACUGCUACUCGUAAUGCACACUCCUGGUGGCGUUCUUGGUUUCUUCUCUAGACUUGUAUAUGUUGCUGCUUGCACUAAAAGCAAUUUAUGUCCAUGUUAGGACUGAACUGUUUCUUAGACAGGUUUUUGCUGGUUCUGUAGAUGCUAAUGGCUUUCAGUGUUUCACAACCUUCUACUUCAUGGUGAUGACUAGCUGAAGCAAUUCUAUUUAAAGCAGAAGCUGAGAUCAGCAUCUAAGAUUUCAAACGUUUAAAUAAUAUCCAUCCAUUAAUUCUUUAUAUCCUUUAAUGAUCCUACAUAAGUUACUGUUGUAAUUAAUACAUUGGUGUGGAAUAUGUGAAUAAAUAUUUUUCAGUUCAAGGAUGUCAAUCAUUCUGUU